UGGAGCACAGUGGCGCCAUCAUAGCUCACUUCAACCUCCGCCUACCGGGCUCGAGCAAUUCUCUCAGCUCAGCCUCAAGUGAUUCGCCUGCCUCAGCUACCCAAAGUGCUGGGAUGCCCUAGAGAUGUUUUCUUGUUAUCGCAACUGGGAGAGGGAAGUAUGUGCUUCUGGCAUCUAGCCAGGGAUGUUACUAAAUAUCCCGCAUUUCACAAUAACAAAUAAUUAGCCAGCCUAAAACAUCAACACUGCCAAAGUUGUAAAACUCUGUUAUAGAGGAAAGCAACAGAAAAUAAACUAGUAUAAACCAGUAAAUUGCCGGGGCCGGACACUGUGACUCAUGCCUGUUAUCCCAGCACUUUGGGAGGCUGAGGCGGGCGGAUCACGAGGUUAGGAGUUCAAGACCAGCCUGGCCAACAUGGUGAAACCCCAUCUCUACUAAAAAUACAAAAAUUAGCCAGGCGUGGUGGCACACACCUGCAGUCCCAGCUACUCUGGAGGCUGAGGCAAGAGAAUCGCUUGAACCUGGGAGGUGGAGGUUGCAGUGAGCUGUGAUCAUGUCACUGCACUCCAGCCUGGGAGACAGUGAGACUCUGUCUAAAAAAAAAAAAAAAAAAAAAGGAUAAUUAAAAACUAUUAAGAGUUAUGAGAAACAUGGUUUGGGGCCACUCUUUUAUAAGACUGUUUUCGUCACGCUGAUAAAAAUCUGUUAUCUGAAACAGUGUCAUUCACUGGUUUUUGUUAUUGCUGGUUCUAUUCCCUUUGUACCCGUAUACACUGAAAAAGUACAAAUCUCAAAUCCAGGUUGAGUAAGACAGUUUCUACCACCUUUGUGGACAUCUCACCUCCUUAUCCCUAUUGCAGCUAAGGUGUUACUUAGGAAAAGUACUUCUCCCUAGAGCUUUGUUGCUAAUUGCCAAAAAUGGGUGUGAUGUGGCCAAGUGGAGUUGCAGGUUUUCCUCCUGGAAUAUAUUUGUGAACAGGAUAGGUUUUCCUUUGACAAUGCUUUAAACAUAGCUGGUGCUGAAGGGGGGUGUGUGUGUGCGCAUGCGUAUGCACGUGGUCCAACCCUUUGAGCUUUGAAAUUAAAUAUUUAUUGGUUUCAAUCUCAUGAAGAAACUCCAAAGUCCUUUGGAAUCUCUCUCAAAUGAAUCAGGAUUGGAGGGUUGAGUUCUGGGGGGGAAAAGUUAUUGACUUCCUAAGAGUUUUUCUCUGUUGAAUUUACAGGAAACUGCUGGAAGGCGAGGAGACACGUUUUAGCACCAGUGGGUUAAGCAUUUCGGGGCUGAAUCCACUUCCCAAUCCAAGUUACCUGCUCCCACCUAGAAUCCUCAGUGCUACAACCUCCAAAGUCUCAUCCACUGGGCUAUCACUUAAGAAAGAGGAGGAGGAGGAGGAGGCAUCUAAGGUAGCCUCUAAGAAAACCUCCCAGAUAGGGGAAAGUUUUGAAGAAAUAUUAGAGGAGACAGUAAUAUCUACUAAGAAAACCGAGAAAUCAAAUAUAGAAGAAACCACCAUUUCAAGCCAAAAAAUAUAAUUCCAUUGCUUUGAAAAAGUUAAUGCUUAAGAGGGAAUGAUAUGCAUUUGACUUGUUAAACAGCCUAUUCCUGAACUAUAACACCUGCCACCACUAUAAAAUGUCUUCAAGGCUUCAGUCUCAUAUUUAGUAUUGAAUACUUACAUUCUCUAAUAAGAAAACCACCCCUUAGAUUGAAGUAAACUGCAGUCCUGGAGCAAUCACAGAUGAGUUAUCUAAGAAUACAGCUUUCUGACCUUCAGCUCACGCUUCACAGUGAUCGAUGAUUCAGGUGCAGAGGAAGUACAAACUAAGGUGCUAAAUCUGCGAUCAUCGUCAUUUGCUGUGAACUGAAAUUAAAACUAUUCAUGCUACCCAGCCAUUACCCAGCUAAAUAAUCUUACUCUAGAUACCUAAAACAUAAGAUCACUGCCAGAGAUAAACUAAUGGUCCACACCCAAUUCCACUCUGAUAGAAUUAUUUCACAAAUAAUAGGUGUUUGUUUAAUGGACACUUUUCACCUCCUUCAAUUCCAUAUAUCCUUUUCUUCUAUGUAGGAAAAAAAUAGUCUAGUGUAGUAUUCUUCCCUUUUAAACACAUUUUGGUUCUUCUCAAAAGAACUUACCCCCAUUCGCGCUCUGCUCAGUGGGUAAAAUUAGAUGCAUGUUGACCAUGUCUAUGAUUCGUGUAAUUACUUAUCCCUGCCCAUUUCAUAUUCUUUCAAUUCUGUAGGUUAAAAAAAUGGCAGUGAUGAAUUUUAAGGGUUUCCCCCAACAUAUAAAAUAAUGCAAAGAAUCCCUAGACUUUAGGCUUUCAGCUUACACAAAUCUAUUUAAUUAGGAAAAAAACUAUUAAGGAUGUAGCUUUUCACCUUUACUUUAGAAGCACAGUAAAUAUCCCAAACUGUGAUGAAGCCGACCUUAGAUUUAGUAGUGUAAGCUAGAAGAAGUGAGUGUUUCUAUGAGUGGAAAAAGCCAAGGUGUCAUUUAUGUGUCAGUUCAUUUGUGGUGAUAUAGAAUUAGCUUUUUCAUCCCCUUACCCUUAGAAUCCACGUAUUCCCCUUCCCACUAGCCUAGGUCAUAAAGAGGCGUUGCUUUCACUCUCCUAUGCCUUUUACGAGUGCUAAGUGUAGGAUAUUUUGUCACCAGAACACAAUGCUACCGCCCCAAAGUAAAAGAAACCACUUCUGGUCAAUCAACACUACCAGCGUAUAUAUAAGAAAGACAUCUUUCUCUUUUCUAAAAGACUUCCCUAACACUUACCCCAUGGCUGCACAGUUGGUGGGGUCCUGCCGGAGAGGAAGAGACACUCAGACCAGAGAAGGGGUGUGCAUGCGCCUACUCGCUUGCUAGAAGUAGAUUCUGGACAGUCAGCUCUUCAUCUGCCCAACUGUGUAGCAUCUGCAUUGCCCAGUCUUUCAUGUGUGCCAAGGCUGAUGCAGGAUUUGUUCUCUGUCCAGCAGUCACUUCGGCCAGAGCUGAAGAGUUGCCCCGUCUCUGUUCCAUGUCUCCUUUAAGAGCUCUGGUGAUAAGGACAUGAUGCUUUUACUGAACUUUCUUAUCCUAGCACAUGCUUCAAUAGUUCAAGGAACUUGAAAAAUACUUUUCCUUACCUUUACCCCAUCCCUGUCUUUACUCCUCACACUUACUGUAAGACAUUAGUAACAUAAUAAAUUAAAAGUCACACGAAUCUCACCAACAUAA
This 3216-nucleotide long non-coding RNA is filed under the name Homo sapiens (human). RNAcentral describes it as "HSALNT0359775". Lineage: Eukaryota; Metazoa; Chordata; Mammalia; Primates; Hominidae. The record is from RNAcentral.